GAUGAACGCUGACAGAAUGCUUAACACAUGCAAGUCUUUGGCGAAUCUGUGCUUGCACAGGCUAGCCAAGGCGGACGGGUGAGUAACGCGUAAAGAACUUGCCCAGCAGACAGGGAUAACAGACGGAAACGACUGAUAACACCUGAUACAGUUGCCGGCACGCAUGUGCCUGGCAAUGAAAAGAGAUGCUGCAGGAGAGCUUUGCGUCCUAUUAGCUUGUUGGUGAGGUGACGGCUCACCAAGGCGAUGAUAGGUAGCCGGCCUGAGAGGGUGAACGGCCACAAGGGGACUGAGAUACGGCCCUUACUCCUACGGGAGGCAGCAGUGGGGAAUAUUGGACAAUGGGGGCAACCCUGAUCCAGCAAUUCUGUGUGCACGAAGAAGGUUUUCGGAUUGUAAAGUGCUUUCAGCAGGGAAGAAGAAAGUGACGGUACCUGCAGAAGAAGCGACGGCUAAAUACGUG
This 463-nucleotide ribosomal RNA is filed under the name uncultured bacterium. RNAcentral's name for it is "partial 16S ribosomal RNA". It matches the Rfam family "Bacterial small subunit ribosomal RNA", at positions 28 to 507 of the family's 1533-position model. The record is from RNAcentral.